RNAcentral lists this transfer RNA (73 nucleotides) under Oribacterium sp. KHPX15. It matches the Rfam family "tRNA". Rfam says of the family: Transfer RNA (tRNA) molecules are approximately 80 nucleotides in length. Their secondary structure includes four short double-helical elements and three loops (D, anti-codon, and T loops). The record is from Rfam by way of RNAcentral. Lineage: Bacteria; Bacillati; Bacillota; Clostridia; Lachnospirales; Lachnospiraceae.
GCCGUUAUAGCUCAACUGGAAGAGCAGCAGACUCUUAAUCUGAAGGUUCAGGGUUCGAUCCCCUGUAGCGGCA